AUGCUCAUUUGUUUGGCUCAACUUCACCUAUCUUCCAUUUUUCAUCAAAAGAACAUGAAACAACAACCAUUUCCUUCAUUUUAAUUCAUGACUAAAUGCUCACAACACAACUAAAAACCAAAAUAUGCUUCAAGAGUUAAUGUAGAAUCAAGAAGAACUCAUGAACAUCAAGAUAGAAGCAAACUACCAUGAACUUACCUUCAAUUUUCUUCCCCAAGUGACCGAACAUUCAAGAGCUUUCUCCUC
Molecule: long non-coding RNA, 246 nt
Filed under: Gossypium barbadense (sea-island cotton)
Lineage: Eukaryota; Viridiplantae; Streptophyta; Magnoliopsida; Malvales; Malvaceae
Description: long non-coding RNA (GBAR_LNC006986)
Source: RNAcentral